RNAcentral lists this ribosomal RNA (474 nucleotides) under uncultured bacterium. RNAcentral describes it as "bacterial SSU rRNA". It matches the Rfam family "Bacterial small subunit ribosomal RNA", at positions 30 to 496 of the family's 1533-position model. The record is from RNAcentral.
AUUGAACGCUGGCGGCAUGCUUUACACAUGCAAGUCGAACGGUAACAGGGACUUCGGUCUGCUGACGAGUGGCGAACGGGUGAGUAACAUAUCGGAACGUGCCCAGUAAUGGGGGAUAGCUCGGCGAAAGCCGGAUUAAUACCGCAUACGCCCUGAGGGGGAAAGUGGGGGAUCUUCGGACCUCACGUUAUUGGAGCGGCCGAUAUCAGAUUAGCUAGUUGGUGGGGUAAAGGCCUACCAAGGCGACGAUCUGUAGCUGGUCUGAGAGGAUGAUCAGCCACACUGGGACUGAGACACGGCCCAGACUCCUACGGGAGGCAGCAGUGGGGAAUUUUGGACAAUGGGCGAAAGCCUGAUCCAGCCAUGCCGCGUGAGUGAAGAAGGCCUCGGUUGUAAGACGUCUUCUAGUGGAAGAAAGACGGAGUGAGUAAUACUUAGUCCGGAUGACGGUACCGACCACGAAGAAGACACCGG